CAGACAAUAUCGUUUCCGAAUUGUACUGGAUUUAGGUAGGAAUUAUAGCUGUUAUGCGGCAAGAUUAUGGGAAAAGUGCAUACUAUCUUAUCCUGAUUUAAAUACCGCUUGGAUCGUUUGGUGACCGAGACGGGGGA
Molecule: regulatory RNA element, 137 nt
Organism: Desulfosporosinus youngiae DSM 17734
Lineage: Bacteria; Bacillati; Bacillota; Clostridia; Eubacteriales; Desulfitobacteriaceae
Rfam family: pan motif
Source: Rfam